RNAcentral lists this ribosomal RNA (307 nucleotides) under uncultured eukaryote. RNAcentral's name for it is "partial 18S ribosomal RNA". It matches the Rfam family "Eukaryotic small subunit ribosomal RNA", at positions 1470 to 1796 of the family's 1831-position model. The record is from RNAcentral.
CCCCUAGACGUUCUGGGCCGCACGCGUGCUACAAUGACGGUGGCAACGAGCGUUAAUCUGACCCGAAAGGGUUCUGGAUAAACUUUGAAACACCGUCGUGCUGGGGAUCGAUUAUUGUAAUUUUUAAUCGUCAACGAGGAAUGCUUAGUAGGCGUAAGUCAUCAGCUUGCGCCGAUUGCGUCCCUGCCCUUUGUACACACCGCCCGUCGUUUCUACCGAUGAGCGAUCUGGUGAACGCGGAGGAGGCAGCCCUGUGCGCUCAAAUCCGUGUGAAUCAUAUUGCUUAGAGGAAGAAAAAGUCGUANCA